Molecule: long non-coding RNA, 11476 nt
Filed under: Ananas comosus (pineapple)
Lineage: Eukaryota; Viridiplantae; Streptophyta; Magnoliopsida; Poales; Bromeliaceae
Description: long non-coding RNA (ACOM_LNC013302)
Source: RNAcentral
UCGUUGCAUGCAUACUUACAGUUCUUACUUUAUAGUUGUCUUACUACUAUAGUAGAUAUUCAUGUAUGCUUUCUGUUCCAGUUACAGUAGCGGUAGCCGUUAUUCAGUCUAGUUCCUACUUUCUUUCAGUUUAUUGCUACUGUAUUCAGUAUAUCUGCUCAUCACCUUAUACAUCUCUUUCGUUUAUUAUUGUUCCUACUAUAUUUUCACUAACCGGUGUUGUUGUAUAGCUCUUCCUGAUCCGGUGAGUACUCCUCGCCUUCUUCGGCUUGCGGUACCCACUGGGAGGGGAGACAUGUUUACAUGUUCUCACCUCCCCCACUAUUUUUCAGGUAUCGCGGGCGGUGAGGGUUGAGACUGGACGCGAGAUACGUAGCGGUCGAUAGAGCUUCCGACCCAGGUUAUUCGGUUUAGUUCUACCCUUACUAUUAUGUUGAUAUAGCUUAGAUAGUUUAUAUGGUUCAGUAUAUUUUAUUACAUUUGAAAAUAUGGGUUUUCAUGAAUGUAAUAAAUGGAUUUGUGAAUUUUGUGAGAUGGAAAGGUUUUCUACCCCUCGUGGUAGUGUUUUUAAAGAAUAAAGGUUUCUGUAUAGGAACAGCUUUCAAAAGAAUUUUCUGUAGAUUUAUGUUUAAAUAUUAAAUGCAAAUCUGUGAUGUAAAUGGUGAAUGUAUGAAUGAAUAAUUAUUUCUAUAUUCACUUAGAUGUGGUUGUAUCCUGUUUGUACCGUUGUACUUGUGCGACGCCGUGCAAAUACAGGGGAGACUCUGUCUGUGUGAACAGUGGAAUCCCUGUAUUUGUGGCGGAUCUUGCAUACUCUGGGGUCAGGUUUUCAAAAAAAAAAUUUAGACGCUUUUUCCGCUGUGUUCAAAUAAAAAGGGACCCCGGGGCGUGACAGAAACAUACAAGACAUCUAAUACAAAACGAUAAAUAAGGCAAUAGAGGAAGAAUAUCUAAGAGUAUUAGAGCAAAGUAUAUCUACAAGCUACAAUAAGGGAAAAGAACAUAAAGCUCCACUAUGUAAAAACAUAAAGUAAUACAAUAGGAGUCCCAAAAAUAAGAGCUAAACUAGGUACCUAGGUGGUCUCUAUACAUGGUACAAAAUCUCUCUCACAGAAAAAAAUACGAAAAGUAGAAAGUAACCACCUAGGAGCAAAAGCGAGCUCCGCUCUAUCUAGCUAGCCGACACCCUUGCCGCGAUCCCGUGCCUCCACCGGUGCCGAAGGCUCUGAAAGAAAAUCAUAAAACAGAGGGCGUGAGAACUAUAUAUUAAAUAAUAGUUUCCAGUGGGCAAUUACUGACUUCAAUGAAAAGCGCUACUAGGCCCAAAAGCUACAAAAAAGGGGGUCAGUAGAUAAAUAUAAGUAAGAGCGAUAAGUACAACGUGUAAAUAAACAAGAAUGCUUGCUUCCACAAGAUAUCUAUACCUAGCAUGAUUUUGCUCAAGUAAUAAAAGGCUACACUAGUAUGAAUGUACCAAAGUAUCACUAGUAUGAUGUCCACAAGCUAAAUAGUAAAGAUGUUAUUGUUUACUAUUCUAGUCAAUGUCCACAUGGCAUGAUGAAUGCUCAAAGUCAAAUCUGAAGAGACCCGCCCGAAGGCUGUAUGGCCCUGAGACCCACCCGUAAGCUGUCUGGCCGGUGCCGAGCCUAAUGGCCCCGUGGUAGUCAACAUCCCCACCCUAAGGAUGAGCCUAGCCCACGGCAAUCCACUUCGGCGCCCAAUCCCGCACGGCGAAUAUGUACCGCGAUGGCCAUCUCCGGAGUGCCAGCUUGUAGGAAGCGACCCUCACAAGCAUGUGCGAAUGAGCACAAUGGCAAGUAACCAAAAGAUCCGUCUCAAGUACCAAGUCCUCAUGUCUAACAACAUGGAAUACGUCACAUCUCUCAUAGGCCUAUCUCUAUGUCAUCAUGUCUCUAAUAUGGAAUAUAAAAAAUGUCAAUUGCCUAUCACGAAGUCUCAGAUAACAGUUUCAUAGUUUGCUAGUCCAAGUGCCCCUUUAUGAUACUUUUGGUCUCUAUGUCCAAGUAUGAUAAUUAUGUUCAUAAAUGCAUAAUUCUAAUCAUUUUCAUCGUACGAGACAAGUACCCAACUCGCAAAGAGAACCACUUCUCACAUGCAUGCAAAAACCCAGAACACCCUACUACAUAGAGUGAAAAUUUUAUGAUACAUAAGGCAUGCAUUUUAAGUGUUCUAAAAUUCACAUAAAUUCUAUUUAAUAUGAAUAUGCAAUCAAAUUGAUGUUACGACAAGUAUAGAAUACAUAGGGGUCAUUUCUCCCCGAUUUCAUGAAGUCAAACCCACCACAACUCUUGCAACUCUUCGUAAGCUCCGACGAAGAUACCCACUAGUCUCCUAGCACCCUAAAGAUGUAGAAACAAGAGUCGAACGAACCUUACGAACAAUACAGGGCUCAAUCAUUAACCAUCUCAAGCUAAGGUGGAGAAAAACUCACCAAUUGUGAAGGAAGCUCUCUCGAUCUCCAAAUGGGAGUUAGAGUCCUUCAAAUCUAACCUAAACAACGGUUCUAAGCCAAUCAAUUGGGUCUCAAAGCCCUCAAAUCGAAAAUCCCCAAAAUAAAUCCUAAAUCUCAAAAUCUAGGGUUUCAUCUAGUUUAAAGCUCCAAAACUAGAAUCUGGAGGAAGAAACUAACCACUUAGCUCUAGAAUGCUCCAAACCAAGCUCAAAAUCCUCAAGGGUUGAAGAUUGAUCUUCCACAAAGCUCCAACCACAAGCUCUAAGCCACCAAAGGUGAGAAACGAGGGAGAGGGAGAUGCUUGCUCUCCUUCUACUCUUUCUUCUUCUUCUCCUUCUUCUUCUCUUUCUAGAGAGUGUAGAGAGAGUGUGAGGGAGAGAAAUGAUGGUGAGAGGGAGAGCAAAUGGCCCUAAAAGCCCUCUAAAGCAACAAAAUCCACUUAGGUCCCUCAAAAAUCCAACCUGUGCACUGCCCGGGUCUGGGCUGUUUUCGCCCAGAGGGACCGGUCCUCCCAACUGGGACCGGUCCCUCAGGACCCUCCUGCAGAACAAGCUCUCGGGAACCGGCCUCUUCCUGCCAGGGACCGGUUGCCUCAAGUCCUGCCGCAACACUAUUCUGGGGAUCUCCCACCAGGGACCGAUCCCCGAGAGUGAAAACUCUCAAGACUUAGCCAAAAUCCAGAAUUUCGAACUUUUAGGUCGAAAUACCGUCUACGGCCUUCCACCAAGUGUGGAAAAGCUUGGAAUCCAUAUCAAACAUUCGAACCUUGCAAUUUGCACAAGUCCAGUGUGUUACAUUCUCACACCCACUUGUGGAUCUUUUGCAGAGCCUUCAGUUGCUGCUGCUGCUGCUACUGAUACUGAUCGUGGGAAGGGUGUUGCGAGUUAGAGCCCUUCCUGACGAGUUACAGAGCUAGAGGAGUACCAGCUACAGAUAGUUGUAGUUUUUUGGUCCUUAUACAUACUGAUGUUGUAACUUGCUGAAGCGAGUGUUUUUGUAUCUGGAUACUAUAUAUGUAUGUUAAACCAAUGUUAUAUAUGUGUUUUUCUUUUUAGCAGCUCUAUAUUACUAGUUGUAGUAUUGUAUGAUUACAGGUACAGGUACAACUAUUGCUUUCUUAUACAUAAAAAAUUUCUAUAUAUACGGCGGGGCGGGUCUGUUAGCGUGCCCGGAAAAACGAGUAAUCCAAGGCAUGACAGAUUAAGUUGGCAUCAGAGCUUAGCAUUUGGUUGUUGGGACCUAGGAACCUUAAGUUUGGCAAACCUUAGGAGGAUAAGACGCGAGAGGCGUGAUUUAUCGCGAAAAUCAAUGAUUGAUUAGUUUUAACUCUUCCUAGAGUGGAGUGAGUGACUGAAGAAGUGUCUGUUUCGGCCAAGAAAAUUUUAGCGGCUGCAGACGACAUAAUUUUAAGGAGAAACAGGGCCUUCUAGACUUUCGUUUGAUUGGGUCGAGAGUAUUUGUAUUUUUGUAUCUGACCCUGAUUUCUUUUCAUGCAGCUACGUACCGACGCCGACGUUGACCGCCGACCAGGGAUCGCGCCGCACCUCCUGAGAUGCCUGAAUAGGCAGAGCCGAGUGCACGACCAGAGGCGAGCGCACCCCUUGAUCUGAGGGAUCAGUUGGCUGCCCUAACUGAGGUGACGAGGCAGCAGGGGGCGUUGUUGUAGAGGAUAUGCGAGACAUUUGUUCCGUCGCCGAGCGCAGUACCGAGAGCAUCAGAGUAGGCAACUCCACGCCCGACUACUCCAGUUACAACACCAGCCGCAGCUGUAUCUCCACCAGUGGCAGUUCCCAUAGCGCCAGUUGCAUCUUCUGGAGAGGCGUUACAAAUAACUAAGGCUGAGCAGGAGCGGAUGACCGAGAGGCUGGCUCGUUUUCACUGUUUUGAUCCGCCGACCUAUGACGGCAGCUGCACGGAGCCCUGAGUUGUAGAGGGCUGGGUCAGCGCGAUGGAGAAGUUAUUUGAGGAUUUGUUUAUUCCUGAGUGGGAGUAGGUACACUUGGGAGUUCACUGCUUUGCCGACAAUGCACAUACUUUGUGGAGGAGGAUGAGAAUAGACCGAGGGUUAGUGGCAUUGCAGAUGAGAUAGGAUGAGUUCUGUGGAAUGCUGUAUGGGAUAUAUUUUCCCAACAGUGUGAAGCAGAAGCUCGAGGAGGACCUGAAGAGGCUUCAGCAGGGGGAGCGAUCAGCUCAGGAGUACAUCCGUGAGUUUACUCGACUCCUGAACUGUGUUCCAUUUGUAGCCAGAGAUUAGGCACGCAGGGUGUAUCUUUUUUAGCGAUGAUUGAGAUCAAAGAUUUUCAGGUUUAUACAGGCGCAGAGGUUGAGAACCUUGGACGCGUCUAUGGAGCAGGUUUUGUGGGUAGAGAGAGGUGAUGCAUCUAUUCGGGAGCAGACCCAGAGACCGGUGUAGAGUCAGGACAGGAAGCGCCCCUUUUCAGAUGACGGAGGAUAGUCGAGCAGCAGACGUUCACCGAGGCCUCCACGAUCACGUUCUCAGAGUCGUGGGUCUUCAGGGCGUCAGCGUCCAGAGGAUCUCGUCAGUAGGGGCAGUCACAGAGGACUCCACAGUGUGUUAUUUGUGGGGGCCACAUUGGCCCCGACAGUGUAAGCAGAGAGAGGGCCGCUGUUUUACUUGUGGUCAGUCAGGACAUAUAAGAUCAGCUUGUCCCCGAGCAACAUCACCUGUACCAUCGACAGCGUAAGCGCAGCCAGCACCUCAGCAGUCUGAAUUGGAGCAGCAUCACCAGCAUAUUUAGUAGCUUGAUUUGUUUAUUUACUGUGUUCCUAAAUCUGAAUUUGAACUUAGAAUAUUAGUUAAAUUAUAUAUGUUAGACUUAAAAUUGACUUAGGAGAAAACUAGCGAUUUUAUACCGUCAUUUGCUAAAACUACCAGAUUUAGCUCUAGGAGUCCUAAUUUGUUUAUAUCGCCGGAGUUUGUGGACGGUGGAUACUCUGAUUAGUAUAGAAUGCAUUUACGCUCGUGUUAGGAUGUCGAGCUUAUUUUUACAGCAGUAUUUAGACUGUUAUGACCUGUCAGGUGCCAUUGAGGUUGACGAUGGAUCCAGAUUGCUAUUUUUACAUCAGAUUGUGCCGAUGGCAAGUGAGUUUAGUUGUUAGACCCUGUUUUUCUGGAUUAUAACCUGUGAGAGCCUGAUUGAGUUCGGCAGAGAUACGCUUGCAUACUCGGUUAGGUAGCGCCCACGAGUGCCACUCCGGAGUCGGGCUUAGUGCGUUUGCGUUGGUGUCGUUGUGUCCUGGUUGGACUCGCUCUCCACUGACUACCCAGAGUGGUGGUUGUUAGUGUAGCUUCGAUAGGCGGGACGAGUGUAUUCACAGUCCCUAGUGAGAUUCGGUCAGAGAUUGCAUUGUUUUACAGAUAGUUAGUGUUGGAUCAUGAUAGUAUAGUGGCAUAUACCUGUAAAUUGUUUUCAGUUUCUUUACUAUCAUUGAAUAUACCUUCUGUAGACUUAGUGAGUGAGCCGUUGAGAUCAGUAGUGGCACCCACUGAGGACUACUUCUUUUUGCAGUAGUUCUCACACCUAGUUGUGGAUCUUUUGCAGAGCCUUCGGUUGCGGCUGCUGCUACUACUGAUACUGAUCGUGAAAAGGGUGUUGCAAGUUAGAGCCCUUCCUGACGAGUUACAGAGCUAGAGGAGUACCAGCUACAGGUAGUUGUAGUUUUUGGGUUCUUAUACAUACUGAUGUUGUAACUCGUUGGAGCGAGUGUUUUUGUAUCUGGAUACUAUGUAUAUACCAAUGUUAUAUAUAUGUUUUCUUUUUAGCAGCUCUAUACUACUGGUUGUCGUAUUGUAUGAUUACAAAUAUAGAUACAGCUAUCGCUUCGUAUACAAGUAAAAUUUCUAUGUAUACGGCGGGUCUGUUAGCGUGCCCGGAAAAAUGAGUAAUCCGGAACGUGACAGUUUACAUCAAACUAUAAAAUUUAAAUUAAAUUUUAAUUUAAUUUAAAAUUUGUAAAUUAGAUUUGAAAUGCUUGAUUGAAUUUUAAUUUUUAAUUCAAGUUCAGAUUAAAAUUUAAAAUUAUAAAUUUAAUUUCUAAAUUUAAACUUUUAUAUUUUAAAUAAAAAAUAAGGUUAAAAAAUUAAAUUUAAUUUGAGCAAAGAUCCACCACUCCAUCCGGAUUCAACUUUCAAAUCGGCAUACUAGGCCGGAAUGGAAAAGGGGGUGCUUGGGGGAUUCCUAAUCUACUCGGGAAUCAGAAUUAGAAUAGUACUCCUGCGGAACAAACAUGUACAAAUGGAAUCGUGCAUUCUGAUUUCGUUUCCUCGGUGAAAAAUGGGCGAACCAAACACGCCUCCUGAUGAUACAUUGUAUUUUAAUUCUAUACUUUCAAGAAAAAAAUUGGAGGAAGCUAAAAGCGAUGGUGAAUAAUUACCUGCAUAUAUUAUGUGAUCGCCGCAUAUUACGUGGCGAUCCAUUUAUUGUAUUGUUUAAUAUUCUGCACUAUUCUUCGACUUAGACUUAGCAAAAUUUAAGACUUAACAAAAUUUAUGAAAAUGUGGCAGUAGAAGCUUAAAGAAAGUGAAUGAAUUACCGUAUUUAAAAAAAGUAAAUUAUUUAUUACUUGUAGGAGAUUAUGUAAAUUUUAUAAUGAAAAACAACACACUUNUUUUUUUUUUUUUUUUUUUUUUUUUUUUGUGGUUUACCGUUUUUGUGUUUUAUGCUACCUCACGCAUGACAGAAAUAUAUUUACUUUUUGCAAUAAAAAUUUUAGAUGCCUAUAUUUGUAAUUAAAAACCUUUGUAGGCUUAGAAACCCUUGAGACGAACCAGGAGUGUAGUGUGACGGACCUGGACCUGGAGCCUUGCGAGGCGGAUAAGGUAAUGAAUUCUUGGUCUCCCAUGUCAUUACGGACAAUCUUGGUCAUCUGCCCUUCAUCUAGGCACUUUUAGGCUGAUUUAGACUCAGAUGAUAACCUAUUCAAUGUAAAAUUUUAUUUAUUUUAUUCUUAAAAAUUGACUUCAAAACUGUACCCGCUUCUCCUAUCCGGAUCUAAACAUUUGAUCUCAAUCCUGACUUACAAUUACAAUAAAACACUCUCGUACCAAAUAAAAUUUUACCGAGUAACUUAUUCCAGCAUCCAAUCCCUUAAUAAAGCUUGUUAUUUUGAGAGUUUAAUAAUCAUAUUCUGUAGAAACUGACUAUCAAAAGAAAUGAUUGAUGAGGAUAUAAACUAACCAGCGGUGCACAAGCGACCGCAGAGCAGGAUGCCGAAGCAUGCAGAGCACCUCGUCUCACCACUUGAAUGAAACUUAAAAACAUAACUCCAUUUGCUUUUGAAAAGCCUACAUACGCAAAUUAUUCUACCUGCAAAAAGUAUUACAUCAGAAAUAAAACACCCGAAAGCACUACUUGCGCCCAAAACUUUUUCCUCCAAUCCUAUUUUUAGGCAGAAACAAAGAACACCCCCCUCCCCCCAAUCCAAUUAUUUUCUUCAUUCACUGCUUGGCCACAAAGGAUUUUAUAAUUCUAACAAUAACAAGGUGAUAGGAAUAAAGAGGACGGUCAUUCAGCUGCUAAAGAAUUACAAUAUGAGCUUAUGGUACACGAACUGAUGACGAUCUAAAAGGUCUAGUCAAAGUUAUUAAGUUGGUGAAAAAGCAUUAACACAUGGCUUGUUGCUACAUAGAAAAUCAAGUAAAGCAUACCCAACAGCUCUCUCUCAUAGGCAGCACCCUCAGUGGGUGCAGACAAAUGUCCAUUUAGCAGAGUAUGUUACAAGAAAGCCAUUUCAAAAAGAAAAGAAAAUCUUCGUUUAGCUUCCGCUCAGAAACUUUGCCUCGUAGUAUUGUGGAGACUGCGAAAAAAGAGUAAAGGUAAAAACUCAUUCAGAAAACUAGUACUGCAGCAGCAAAUAUCAGACAGUAAAAAUGCUAGAAUAGCUUUUACCAGAUAACUUGCUGUGAUCAUCUUUCCAGCAAACCACCUCCCAUGGAGCGCCCGCUGUGCAUUCAUGGCCGAGGAUGCACUAUCAAACCGUAGAUAAACAAAGCCAGCACUGUUUCUGCUCUCCACAUUAAAAAGAACAUGGUGAAACAAAACAGUCUACAGUAGGGUGCAGGGAAAAAAAAAAUCACUACUAAUUCUCGGCAAAGGACAUAUAUUUCCUUUAAACUACCCUAGUUCAUCAACAGAAAAGUUAUUGGAGUACCCAAAGAAAGGGGGUAAGAAGAGUCUGACUAGAGCGUGGUACAGUUUAGCCUACGGCAAAGAAACAUUGGAUUUUCUUUGUGAUUCUGCGUCUAUAUAAGACCAUACACGCUUGCAUUAAGUUUCUUAGCUACUUGUUUGCAAAUAUUUGUUCAAUUUCAUAAGAUUAAAUCAGCCACCUGUAGCAUAAUAUCAUAUACAAAUAACAAAACUUGCCUCCCGUCUAGCCCUUAGCUAUCAUAGACAAACCAAAUUGAAGGACCAAAGGAUUAUCUACAGGGUUCAAUCCUCUAAAUUCAAAUUCACAAAAAAAGAUCCAGCAAGACAACCUUCCCCUUGCGCCUAAAAGGUCACUAGAACAUAACGAAAUCCAAGUAUAUUUCAUUCCAUAUCUGCCGGGCGGUCAUCAUUGCCAUUUCUUGUUAUCAUUAGAAGGAUUUGGAGAGAUUCCAAGGCCAAUUCUAGUUUUAUCUAGUACUCUAUUUACAAAUAAGGGAACCCACGUGUCAUAAAAAGGGAUUUGCAUUUCUUGUAUGUCUUAACAUCUAAAACAAUAAAAAAGAAGCUGAAUAAGGACAUAAUUCUCAUUUUGUAAUAUAAUGAGACCGAAUGCCAACGUGAUUCUAGCCAGCUAGUGAGGCAUGUAUCAUGAUGAACAUGUACAGAGCAGGGUAACACAGGAACAUACGUGGUAGCUCAAACCUUGAAAAUGACUCCAAGGUUACAUCUUACUUUUCUAAUAAAUGAAAGCGCUUAGGCAGCAAACAGGAAUACUAGAAUAAGUUGAUGAAGAAAUUAUAAACUCAGAAAAGGAACUACUGUUUUCAAACACAAAAGACUUUGUAAGGACAGAGCACCGCUUAAAAUAAAGUAUGAGGUAAAUAAAGGGAUAGGAAUGAAAACCAAUCCCACAAUCUCAAAAUAAUAGUACCGAAUAUUUUCUUAUUUUUGUUCCAGAUAUAUAAGAUGUCAAAACAGGACGAGAUACUGUAAAAGAGUCUCAAACUCAAUAUACCUUACACUUUGUGUGCAACAUGUGAUGAAAUUUAACGAAGAUAGAGCAAGGGAGCUAGAAAGCACCUAAAAUAACAGUUAUGACCAAAAACACUUGGCAUCAGAAUACAAAAUACAGCUUGAGGUACAAAGUAAGAGAAGCAAGAUCUUUUUAGGUUAAAACAAGGCUUUAUCCUGAUGUCAUCUUAUUGUAAAUGACACUGAAAGAAGCUAGAGAAGUGCAGUUGUACUCAGCUAGAGAAGUGCAGUUGUACUUUCAAGUUAAUGCUUAUAAAAAAGUUGAGUUCCGCAGAAAAACAGAGAGAAUAAUAUAUGGCUAUAACCGGAAACAAGCAUAACCAACUGAUGUUUAAUCUUUGCAGUAUUAGCAAAUCAUCUAGAAGAAAUUGAACACAUAAAGAAGCAACUCUGACUUACUUGUCCACAAAAAUGUGCUUCACUGUGCCAAAUUUGGAACAUUCCUCUGAAACAUCAUCUUUAAUAUCUAAAUCAAAAUCAGGUUCCGUCUGCAAAGAAAAGUGUGCAUAGAAACCUUCAGUUCAGAAAAGCAGAUUUAGACACAUAAAACGCAGAGAUAAGAGCUUUAAAACCAACCAACCUCCACACUUGGAUCGAACAUAUUCUUCAGCAACAAGCAUUCACUAGGAACAGCAGACUCGACAGAAGGCAUGCUAAGGCUUGGAACUGGAAGAAGACCUGAAGCAGGUACUCCUCCAAUAGGAGGCACAGUGGUUGGUAGAAAUGGAUUAGCCAGUGGAGGAGCACCAAGAACUGAUGCAGCAGGCAGAGGAAGCGCAGCAGUAUUGGCCGCAGGAGCAACAAGCCCACUAGUCAUGCUGCAGAUAAAGCAACAAUGUAAAAAAGCAUGACCUCAAAACUGGUGUUUGCAAGAGAAAAGAAAAGGGUAAAAUAUGUACUAUAAAUAUAUAAACUAUCCCAAUAACAAGAAUGGGACCUCGAACUUUUCACUUGAACAAUGUUAAUCCCUGAAUAUCCAUAUAUAUUGCACUUUGGUCCCAGACCAUCACAAAGAAAUCUAAUAUAUAUUGCACUUAUUCUGGUUUACUUCAAACAGCUUUAGAAUGCCAUGCUCCAAUAAACUUGCAUUUUCUGAGGAUCAAAGAGACAAAGACAAAACUGCAAUACAUGUGAAAGUCUAAAGAUUAAAGUGUUCAAGUAGAGAAACCAAGUUGUUAUAUCAGAAUAGUAAAGGGGCUAUCAAUAUAUUUUACCCUCCAAAGGAGAGAGAGAGAGAGAGAGAGAGAGAGAGCCCCUUUGUUAAAAUCCUUGCAUUCAAUAACUAUAACAAAUUGCCCAAGUUUUUCCAAAAGAAUACAAUGUUAAAAUAUAUAUGCAAGGAUCUAUAGCACCAAACCUAGUUGUAGUGCCGCUCCGGUCCAACUUCUGCAUGAGCAGAGCCCUAGAGCUAGCGUUUAGUGCCUGCAAGCAAAAUUCAUAAACCAUACAACAGGAAUUGUAGGAAAGAAUGAGCAAAUCAUACUAUAUGAUGGAUCUGGCAGAUCUCACAGACACAUUUUGAAUGAUUCUUGAGCUAGCUAUUUCAUAGUUUCUUUGUCUAGGAUUUUAGAGUCAUUAGAAAUUUGCAGGACUAAAGCUCCAUAAUAUCACAAACUAUAAUCAGGUUAAGUUUUAGCUUUAUAAUUUGGAGCUAACUUGGUCAGUACGUUGCACUGACAUGGAUAUGCAAUUCAGAUAUGACAAGAUGCAGAUAUGGCAAUAUGGUGAAUUUCUGGAGAAUGCGGUAUUAUAUUUUAUAUAAAACAAAAUAUAUUGAAAAUACGUUAGAUUAUUAUAUAAC